UACGGAGGGUGCAAGCGUUAUUCGGAAUUAUUGGGCGUAAAGCGCGUGUAGGCGGUCUUUUAAGUCUGAUGUGAAAGCCCUGGGCUCAACCCAGGAAGUGCAUUGGAAACUGGGAGACUUGAAUACGGGAGAGGGUAGUGGAAUUCCUAGUGUAGGAGUGAAAUCCGUAGAUAUUAGGAGGAACACCGGUGGCGAAGGCGGCUACCUGGACCGAUAUUGACGCUGAGACGCGAAAGCGGUGGGGAGAC
Molecule: ribosomal RNA, 248 nt
Filed under: uncultured bacterium
Lineage: Bacteria
Description: partial 16S ribosomal RNA
Rfam family: Bacterial small subunit ribosomal RNA
Source: RNAcentral